ACUUUCACUGAUAAACUCGCUUCACCACUGUUUACAGAAUCUUUUCUAUUUCUCUAAUCUCUUAUUGCUAUUUUACGAUUUUUGCUUUUAAAACAACUCUGUAGGGCUUCGUACUACGAGUAAUACCAUCGCACCUAUUCAAUUGAAUAUCGUUUACCUAACUGCUGAAGGAGAAGGUUCAUUUUUUGGUGCAAAAUAGACGUUUUCAAAAGCCACUAAAAGCCUGCAUAGUGCAUGUUUCUAACAAAAAUAAUGAUUUUAUAAGCAAUAUUGCCUAAAUUUCCACCGAAUCCUACCGUUUAGAGGAAAUUUUGACUCAAGUUUCAAUGCAAACAAUUGAUAUAAAAUUAAAUAUAAAAGUACACACAUCGUACACUACUAUAGAAAGAAAUCGCGACGGACUGUUUGCUAAUUGCUUUAUUAUCCCAUGAAUUCUAAACAACAGCUUCUUAUUUCGAACAUAUAUUUUAAUUAAUUAACGCGUAUUUUUUUACCUUAUCAAAAAAAGUUCAUUUUUUAUGGCCGUUAGGUUGUUCUUAUUCGAAAACCAUAGAGAUUCGAACCACUUGAAUCUUCUCGGCAAUUACAUAAAUCACAAAAUGUGAAGUUUGUUCGCAACACUUCAAAAUGGCCCACGGCCCAGUUCCAUAUUUGCAUCUACCUCUGCACCCCACACCUCACUUGAAAAUGGAAAGCCCAACACACAUCGAUAGGAGCGGGUUCCUUCGCCGUCAUCGGAAAAGAUCUCGCGAACCCCAAGUGAUGACCAAGCUUUCAUCUGGUGGUAUACCCUCUGCGAGUGUUGCCGUGCUGCACAGGCAAUUGGAGACAGAGUAACCAGAUUACGUUGGUUUGGGGAAAGAUAUCGUACGUAAGUGUUGGAAUUUUUGCCGUCAACAGCUGCCAUUGGCCACAUUUCGAUACAUCUCGAACCCAAUAUUCCGGCCCCAUCAACCGAAUUCCAGGUCCCAAAUGGAAAACAAAUUCAUUCUUCAGCCACCGAUUGUAAUCUUAUGGUCCGAAAGCUGCAGCAAAAUUACAGUUUACUGUAGGCCAGUGAAUUCAAACCGUAACGUAAGGAAUCUUGAGACCUUCAGUUGAUAUUGAAAACACAUAUUUUUAAAUUUAGAAAGAAGAUAUAAUUUGAAACAAAUAGUGUUAUUUGAAUACACGGUGUUCAACAACGAGUUGAAGGGAUUAUUGUAUGGAAAACUUUAUUCAAUUAACAGUUUUGUUCGACUCAGGGUUUUACCGGAAGUCGACUCAUACUUUGGAAUGGGAUGCAUUCGUAUAGAUUUAUAUUCAUUUUGCGCUAAAUUUGGACUAUAUUUGAAUGUCACAUGACAGCGAUAGGGUUUUGAUUUGCACAAUUUUUUUGUUUUUACAAAAACCGUUCAUUUUUUAUGAAGGGGGUGCAAUCAUAGAUUGCUUUUAUUUUCUAGUGUAUAAUCUACUUUCAUGACUGAGUACUUUGUAUAAUCUGCUACAGAAUUACAUUUUGGACAAUGUAUAAGUUUUACUUUCACACAUACUGGUGUGUACAGUGCGGUUCAAGUACCUGGGGAUGUGGGAUCUCCGUAACAGAUAAAGUUCAAGUUAAGUGGAGAUAAAGUUGCCUCUGUUUGUGACUAAAGAACGCAUUUGAAAUUUAUGAAGACUGUUUGAAAGUAAUUAAGGGCAAAAAAAGAAUGUAAAGCAACUUAUUUUGAAAUUGUUCUUGUAAAUUUAUGUAAAAAUACAGUGUGUCUGUGUCCACUACCUCAUUUGAAAUUUGAAAUUUUCAGUUUUUCUGUAAUAUCUCAGUUAUUUUCAAAGAUUUUUCAAAAAUCACAAAAAUGGGCAACUUUCCCCUUUCUGGGGUCUGGGACUGGAAGUUUCUCCUCGAUUGAAAUGUUUGCCGUUGCCUAUUCAAUUUUGCAUUCGGUUGAUCAAUUAUACUGCCACUACUUUCAGUCCCCCCCUUCUGCAAUAUCAUCAACUGUGACAGUACCAAACACCCAGGAAAAAAGUGUCGAUAAAAGACCGGCCUGUACCAUUUUGUCGACUAUUUUUCCGUCUACUCAGCGGAGUACCACACAGCGCAAAACCUAGAUAAUGGAGAAUGCGGCAUAAACUAAAAUUCUUCUACAAGCCUUGACAAUCACGCCAUAUCCCACGACACUAAGACGCCUAAGGUUCCAACGCAGUUAAAAAGUGACGAGGGAUCACAUAAUAUACUGCUAUGUCUACCUGGUCGCCCAGUAUGAUCCACACAAAAAUACAAAAUACUACAAAGGUCAAGCAGAACUUCAAGACUAACAUUAAGCGAGAUUAAAUGAGACUGUCACGAUCAUCAUCAUGAUCGAUUUAAAAGGCCACAAAUUUAAUUGUAUUUAUUUUUAACAAUUUUUAAUCUACACAUUGACACAAACAAUAGGUAUAUUAUGAAAUA
Photinus pyralis (common eastern firefly) is the source of this 2431-nucleotide long non-coding RNA. RefSeq lists it as uncharacterized. NCBI's taxonomy places the organism in Eukaryota, Metazoa, Arthropoda, Insecta, Coleoptera, Lampyridae. The record is from RefSeq and is a predicted model, not a curated record. The transcript is spliced from 2 exons.